Molecule: ribosomal RNA, 497 nt
Filed under: uncultured bacterium
Lineage: Bacteria
Description: partial 16S ribosomal RNA
Rfam family: Bacterial small subunit ribosomal RNA
Source: RNAcentral
GAUGAACGCUGGCGGCGUGCCUAAUACAUGCAAGUCGAGCGAACAGACGAGGAGCUUGCUCCUCUGACGUUAGCGGCGGACGGGUGAGUAACACGUGGAUAACCUACCUAUAAGACUGGGAUAACUUCGGGAAACCGGAGCUAAUACCGGAUAAUAUAUUGAACCGCAUGGUUCAAUAGUGAAAGACGGUUUUGCUGUCACUUCUAGAUGGAUCCGCGCCGCAUUAGCUAGUUGGUAAGGUAACGGCUUACCAAGGCAACGAUGCGUAGCCGACCUGAGAGGGUGAUCGGCCCCACUGGAACUGAGACACGGUCCAGACUCCUACGGGAGGCAGCAGUAGGGAAUCUUCCGCAAUGGGCGAAAGCCUGACGGAGCAACGCCGCGUGAGUGAUGAAGGUCUUCGGAUCGUAAAACUCUGUUAUUAGUGAAGAACAAAUGUGUAAGUAACUAUGCACGUCUUGACGGUACCUAAUCAGAAAGCCACGGCUAACUACGUG